UGCAACCUCAGCAAUUUAUAAAUAAGCCCC
This 30-nucleotide non-coding RNA is filed under the name Rattus norvegicus (Norway rat). Lineage: Eukaryota; Metazoa; Chordata; Mammalia; Rodentia; Muridae. The record is from RNAcentral.